Molecule: transfer RNA, 65 nt
Filed under: Polypedilum heberti
Lineage: Eukaryota; Metazoa; Arthropoda; Insecta; Diptera; Chironomidae
Description: tRNA-Gly
Rfam family: tRNA
About the family: Transfer RNA (tRNA) molecules are approximately 80 nucleotides in length. Their secondary structure includes four short double-helical elements and three loops (D, anti-codon, and T loops).
Source: RNAcentral
AUUUAUAUAGUAUAGAUAGUAUAUUUGACUUCCAAUCAUAAGGUUUAAAUUUUUUAAUAUAAAUA